RNAcentral lists this long non-coding RNA (262 nucleotides) under Mytilus galloprovincialis (Mediterranean mussel). Lineage: Eukaryota; Metazoa; Mollusca; Bivalvia; Mytilida; Mytilidae. The record is from RNAcentral.
UGGUAGGUUGUUGUUUGUCAUAUUUGUUUUGUAUUUAUUGAUUAUGUCAUAAUGUUUUACAUUUUGUUAUGCCUCUUAUAUAUCUGACUGAGUGAUAUGAUUUUGCUCAUUGUUGAAGGCUGCAGUUUCUUAUUUCUACAUCAUUUGAUCUCAAGUGGAGUUGUUGCACUGGCAAUCAUGCCACAUCUUCUAAUUUCUAUAUUGGCAUAGUUUUCAAGACUUAUUACAUGUAUGUGUUGAGUUUCCAGCCUUCUACAGUGUU